This 253-nucleotide ribosomal RNA is filed under the name uncultured bacterium. RNAcentral describes it as "partial 16S ribosomal RNA". It matches the Rfam family "Archaeal small subunit ribosomal RNA", at positions 474 to 727 of the family's 1478-position model. The record is from RNAcentral.
UACCAGCACCCCGAGUGGUCGGGCCGAUUAUUGGGCCUAAAGCAUCCGUAGCCGGUUCUACAAGUCUUCCGUUAAAUCCACCUGCUUAACAGAUGGGCUGCGGAGGAUACUAUAGAGCUAGGAGGCGGGAGAGGCAAGCGGUACUUAGUGGGUAGGGGUAAAAUCCGUUGAUCCAUUGAAGACCACCAGUGGCGAAGGCGGCUUGCCAGAACGCACUCGACGGUGAGGGAUGAAAGCUGGGGGAGCAAACCGG